Molecule: long non-coding RNA, 637 nt
Organism: Neofelis nebulosa (Clouded leopard)
Lineage: Eukaryota; Metazoa; Chordata; Mammalia; Carnivora; Felidae
Exons: 2
Source: RefSeq, a predicted model, not a curated record
CCCCGUGACAUCAUUGGGUGCUUCUGAUCUGCACAGGAGAACCGGAGUUCAGAUCAUUUUAGAGAAGGUAUCAAAAUGUAAAGGUUUUAGUAUUAGCUCAAGCGGCUUGUUUUGACCUGAUGCGUCAUGAGUCAUUGGUUCCUCAUUUGGCAAAGGAGGGACAGAGUUCCAGAGAAGAGAAGUAAUUUGUUUAAAGUUAUUCAGCAAGUCAUUAGCGGAGCAGUUCUGUUCACUGUCCCAGGGCCCGGAACCCAGCAUGGAUGGCCACCACCGUGGGCUGUACACCUGGAAACUGCAGUCCCUCCAACUUCUCUGGGAGGGCCUUUGCUCUGAUUCACUCCCCUAGAGACCACACUCCUUCCCAUGAGUGAAUUUACUGUGUGCCAGGCACCGUGCAGUGCUCUGAGAAGGCCACGAUGAUGGACGCAGGAUGCAAACCUCAUCAUUUUUUGCCCUCGUUAAAAUCUCUCACAGGCUUCCUACUUAUUUCAGGAUAAGGACUUCACUCCCUUGCCUGCCAUUCAGGGCUCCUCCUGUUCUGGCUCCCGACUCCAUCCCCAACCCCACUCCCGGUCACUUAAGGCAACAAACACUUUGGAUUCUUUGCCUAACAAUAAAUAUGUCAGGGGAAAACGUG